RNAcentral lists this ribosomal RNA (374 nucleotides) under uncultured bacterium. Its description in RNAcentral is "bacterial SSU rRNA". It matches the Rfam family "Bacterial small subunit ribosomal RNA", at positions 523 to 898 of the family's 1533-position model. The record is from RNAcentral.
AUACGGAGGGUGCGAGCGUUAUUCGGAAUUACUGGGUUUAAAGGGUGCGUAGGCGGUUAAAUAAGUUGUCAGUGAAAGGCUACGGCUCAACUGUAGUAGUGCUGGCGAUACUGUAUAACUAAGGACAUGGGAGGGGUACCUGGAAUGUGUGGUGUAGCGGUGAAAUGCGUAGAUAUCACACAGAACACCGGAGGCAAAGGCGGGGUACUAGACCAUAGUUGACGCUGAGGCACGAAAGCGUGGGGAUCAAACAGGAUUAGAUACCCUGGUAGUCCACGCCCUAAACGAUGAUCACUAGAUAUUGGCGACAGACAGUCAGUGUCCAAGCGAAAGUGAUAAGUGAUCCACCUGGGGAAUACGGCCGCAAGGUUAAA